GAGAGAAAGCGGUCUAGAGAUUCCAGAACACAAGAGCUUAUCCUUCAAACUCGAAACUCGAGCUGAUGACCCCUCUUCGUCUUCUCCGUCCGGCGACGACAUGGCGGCGGACCAGUCUUGCUCGACAUGCCUCUUCGUUCCGCUUUGAUCUUUGGUCACGAAUCGUCCAUGUGUGGAAGAAGAGUUGAAGUCAGAAAUUUGACAACUCCGAUGGCUCUGCAACAAUUUUCAGCGACUACGGUUUUCAAUGAUGACAUACGAGCUUCUUGGGAGUCCUUGGGUUCAUGUCUAAUGCUGGUUUGAGUUUCAGAUUAAGAAGUGAAGCUGGGUCAUGUGAGUUUUCAGACUUGUGAAGUGAAGCACAAUUGGCAGAAUUUGUGAAAUCUGGUAGUGAAGUGUUUGGCUUAAUUCGAACGGGAUCGAAGGUGAGGAGGUUUAAGGUGUGUAGCCGUAGAGCUCUUCUGAGAAUCACACAACACCUUAAUUAAGUUUACAACUCUAUUUGCCAUAAGAAUGGUGAAGUACUGGAUUGGGAGAGCAAAGGGAGAAUCUAUCCAGCUGCGGUGUUGUUCAAAAGGGAGCAGCUGCAACUCGGUCAUGAUCUGAUCAUAAGGGAAGCCAUCUGGUCCUUGUGCCACACUCGUUAAUUGCUAGAAGGGGUGCAGACUUGACUCAUAAUUGAUUCAUGCAUUAUGAUCAGAGGUAUAAUUUCUUGUCCUUGAUUAUGGGAUUGUGUUUGGAAUUAUACUGAAUGGUGAAGUUUAUAGAAAUAUGUUGACCAUGAGAGUCUGAUAUUCAUCAGUAAUUGCCAAGAAAAGAAUUGAGUUUCAUAGAGUAGAAAGGAUGUGUAGGUUAACUUAUGAGGAUUAACUACCAAGUAUGCAUUUAUGCUUCAACUAUUGCAAAUGCAUGUUAAAGAGAGAGGCAUAUCGUGUUAUGAGCACCAAGGGAACAAGGAUAAAUUGCUGAUUGUGAAUUUGGUGUAGAUAUAAUUAUUGA
Fragaria vesca subsp. vesca is the source of this 999-nucleotide RNA transcript. RefSeq lists it as uncharacterized. NCBI's taxonomy places the organism in Eukaryota, Viridiplantae, Streptophyta, Magnoliopsida, Rosales, Rosaceae. The record is from RefSeq and is a predicted model, not a curated record. The transcript has 2 exons.